This 298-nucleotide long non-coding RNA is filed under the name Physcomitrium patens. RNAcentral describes it as "long non-coding RNA (PPAT_LNC011760)". Lineage: Eukaryota; Viridiplantae; Streptophyta; Bryopsida; Funariales; Funariaceae. The record is from RNAcentral.
AAAUAUAGCUCAAGACACAACCACUAGUAAAUCGGGUCACUUACUACCUUUAGAUUGCAUGUGCUGACUUCAAAAUCCAAUAAAUUCUUCACUUCAACUUAGAAUCCAGCAAGCAAUAUGCAAAAAGUGUAGCUUCAAAAGUGCUCUCUCUAGUCGCAAUCAUCGAUCUUCUAUUGCCCUUUGUACAAUUGUCAAAAAUAGUGAUAGUAGCUCCCAAAUCAACACCUUAACCUUUGAGCGCCUAUAUCUCCUUCAUAUAAACUCCAAAUCAUACAAGAUUUGUACCAAAACUAUAGCC